ACAUAUCUAAAUAACAAGCUGUUACAUUGGAGUGAAAACUGAAUUGUAUUAGGCUAUAACAUCUGCAUUAUUGACUUGUUACUAGUAUUCAUUCUUAGCUGGAAUUUGAAAACUUUGGUCAGCAUGAACCUGUCUUCACUGAUGAUAUCAUGCCUUAGCGGAAUAUUGUGCUUCAGUGUGUCUUGACCUUUUAAGGUUAACUACGUUUAGAAAUAUGCACUCUUUUCGUAAAUAUUUUUGAUUCGUGAAUUAACACACACACCACUUUACGAAAGCGUGCAAAUAUUAUCGGUGUAUUUGAAAGGAAGUACAUGUACAUGUAGCUAUUAGAUAAAAUGUGUUGCAAACCGACACGUAUGGUGAUCUACGUACAAAGUAAACAAAGAAUUUUCGUAGCUUUGCGGCGUUAUUAAAAAUACAGUGCUGGCUAAUACUGAGGUUGUGAAGUAUGGUGGACGUUGUAAACAUUUUGAGUUGUUCCAUCUGUAUAGAGAUUUUCCAUAUACCACGAGUAUUACCAUGUCAACACACAAUCUGCCAAGAUUGUUUAUCGAGCUACAUCAAUGAUGUGAGAAAAAAGAAGGGCAAGAAAAAGAAAUCAGCGGUCACAUUUAAAUGCCCUUUGUGUAGAGCACCAGUUGAUCUAAAAGAGGAACCAUUUGAUGCUUCACAUUUCCACUAAAUUUGACAGUUGUUGCUUUUGUAGACACUCCGUCAUUUCUUGAUACUUGCUCCGGAAGUCCCGAGAAAAAUACAGGUAAGGCAAAGUCUGAGAGUGAUUCUACAAACAGUGUGCUAGCUACAAACACAGUAGCAGAGAACGGAAAAUUGCAAAGUACAACCGAGCAUUCUUUCGACAAUUUAUUCGACGUUAGUUACGGACUUCCGAGGCAUGUUGCACAGUGUAUCUUGAAUCCUAUAACAAACCGUAAAGAGUUUAGUUUUAGAAUUGUUUUGGCAGUCAUAGAGUUGUUUAUCUGUAUGAUUAUCGCGUCAUAUGUCCUAAGCGUGGUUAAACAACACGACUUGUGGUUAAUCUACUUCAUCUGCUCAGUUAACACAGGUAAAGGGAUUAUAAUAUAUUCGUGGAAAGCAACGAGACAUAAAGAUCUUCGGGUAUUGUUCAUAUCUGCACUUGGACAUGUUGUGCUUCACAUAUUUGAGUGUGCUUUUAUUGGAUUCCUGGUGUUCUUCGUUUUAUUCACAGCUAGUAUUCUGGAAAGCAUUCAAACAGCACCAGUUCGACGGUUAACUGUUAUGUCUGAUCUUGGUCAUCCGCAGUGCUUUGAAGAAAAAUAUCUUGAUUUUGAGUUUGUUUUGAACCAAGCAAUGCAAACUAUGAGCUUGACUUUCAAUAAAUAUGUUAUACAAUUCCAUAUUCUCAAAGAUAAUUGGUACCGCUUACUCAUAAACUGAAACAAGUCAAAAUCCAGUCGGAUUGUGGUCAAUUUUGUAGUUAUACUUGACAAGCUUUUCAGAUGAUUGCAACUGGUUGUAUACGUUUAAAAGUCCCAUUCCGAUGGUCAUCCUCUCGGAACUAUUGUUUGCGUAGUGUCCGACGGUACGUUCGGCACUCUUUCCAAAACUCUCCAAAACUCCGUAAUUCACCAAUAUUGCUUUAAUACCUUCACAUUCGCCAGAAGCUAUGGCGUCAAAAUCAAGCUUAUAAUAGAAAUUUAUAGGCAUUGUAGUUGACUUAUUCGACGAAACUUAAGAGCACUUCGUCGGCGUCCACGUCCCUACUGGUUAGGCUUCUGUUCAUUUACUGGAAUUUUAGUAACCACCCGUGAAAAUGCAUUGAAACUUCAGACCAUUUUCAUUAUCUAAUGCGCAACGUACAGGUUCCAUAACUCUGAUUAGCUUUUCUUGACAAAGGACCUUGCAAUUUUUACACACCCGUGAAACGGGACGCAUUAUGUGACCGCCUGCGGCAGACGCCUGGCGUUCCCAAAGAUUUCCGCUCUGUAACUUGAACAUGUCUUAUGCAGUACUCACCAAGCAAUGUUAAAAGGCUUAAUAGCUUAUUGCGGUCAAGUUCGAUGACCAGACUAGAUUGCCUCAGAGGCUCCUUGGUAAAGACCCUUUAAUUACAGUCCCUGGCUCGCGGAUUUUGCUUUUUCCGCGUUACCACCGGCACAAAUAUUUACUCUGAGUGGAAAAUCGCGAUGAUGUUUCACAUUGAAUCACUAUUGAAGACUGUGAUAAAUCGCGAUGAUUUUUUAAGACCCCGCGAUCUAUUAUAGAUAAAGUGCACAAAUAUUUACCCUGAGUGGACACUUUAUCUAUAAAAGAUCGCGGGGUCUUACAAAAUCAUCGCGAUUUAUCACAGCCUUCAGUAGUAAAUGACUGAUUUUCCACUCAGGGUAAAUAUUUGUGCACUUUAUCUAUAAUAGAUCGCGGGGUCUUAAAAAAUCAUCGCGAUUUAUUAUACUUGGUAUAUAAAAGAAGUAUUUUAUUUAUUUUCGUAUAAAUAUAAAGAACGGUCUGCGAUGAUAAUUUUUUAGCUUCAAUUAAACAAAUCACACAUUACUAGUUGAAAAAAGUUAUUCAAUAGUUUAUCUAGACUAAACAUUUAAUGGAUUCUUAUGUAUACUAAUUUAACCAAUAUAUUAUAUCAAGCUAAAUUUGAACACCAAUUAAAGCUUUACACUGGUAAUACAUAAUAUCCAGUUUAUAAAAAUAUAUAGCGUGUGAGUCAUUAUUUUUGUUGAUAUUUUAAAAAAAACAUACUUCAAAUGUUUAUUAAAUAUAUAAGAAAAUGUGCAUUUCAUACCACGUGUAUCAUUUCUCUUAAACGUGAUCAUAUAUCGGCAAAAGUUGUCAAUUAACCCCCUAUCUAUUGACACGCGUUAUAACCACAUUGAAAUAUCUCGUCACUGUGAAGGGUAAAACACGUAGCCGGUCUAAUACAUGUACAAUAUAACAGUAUACUGACAAACUUGCAAAAUUUACUCUUACUUAAAUAUUAUAAUAUUAUUGCUGAAUUAAUCUGUCAACCACGUGUUCGGCUAAAAGGACAAUUUAACGCCUGCAUGUAGUUUACAUGUUUUGAAAAAAGCACCUGGCAAAUAAAGAAACUUCAGAUUUUCUUGCGUAUAUUCGUGCAAUUUUUAAUUGAAUUUCGUUUUCUUAUAACUUUGUUUAUUAUUUCAACAAGCACUCCUUUAAACAAAAACAAAGAGUUUAUGCGCCAAAUUUAACGGUUACCUUCUUAAUUUUUAUUUUAUUGCAAUAACAAGAAAAGAAAAAAUGUUAGGCAUUUUUGUAUUUUACAUCCCUUUAUUUCAAAACAUUCUUUAUCUUUUAAACUUUUAAAGAUUAUUUUAUCUCUUAAUAUUUAUAUACUACCUUAAAAUUUAGUCAAUAAUAAUUUUUUAAUUGUGAAAUGUAAACUUUGUAAUAAUUUUGGUUUGCUUUUGCCAAAUUAUUGUAAAUUUAAUUAUUGUAUUUAUACAUGUAUCUAGCGGAAUGUCACAUUACAUUCACCGAUUUAAUUUUAAAAGCGCGUAGACUGUUCUUAUUGUAGUUUAAAGCAACUGGUUUAAAGGUUAUUUGAUAUAUAUGCGAUUUAUCUUCCCUAUUCAUUCAUAUUUACUAUCAUCAGUUUUGACAUUUCUUGUACAGGUGAAACUCAAUAAUCUGAUUUUAUCAUGUUGUGUUAUAUUUCAAUAGCUGUGCAUGAUUGUACGUUUAUGAUAAAAACAUUAACCAUUCUUUCGUAAGUUUUUUUAUGUAAAUGGAAAAAAAAUUACACUGUAUAACAUUUUUACAUUAUUUUAUCAUUAUGAUACUGAAAAAAAAAGUUUUCACUAUAUGCAGAUAUUUACUUUUUACAUAAUACGGCUACAUUGAAAAACACACUUAACAUAUUAUAAAUGGUAAGACAAAGAAUGCAUUAUUUUAUAUAAAGAUAGUUGUUAUCAAAUCUUGUCAGUAGAUACAUUUUUUGUUAUGAAAAUACGUAUUACAGAAAGAAUCUGUGCAAAAUAUAUUGGAAAUUAUUAUUAAUAGAGGUGAUGAAGACAUUUACUUUUCAUUUUUCCUAAGAAUAUUUGAUGUUAAAAUUCCUGUCGGUUUAUAUGCAUUCUACACUCUAUAUAACAUUUAUAUCGUCAUUCUCUUACCUGUAAAUCGCGGCGAUCCACCGCAAUUCACCGAGAACCACCGGCACUUCACCGCGAUAUGCCUUCGCAAUACACCGCAAUCGAUUUAUUUCUUUUGAUCGCGGUGGAAGCUGAAACAUAUAUUACGGGGAUGCAGCAAAAAACGCGCAUCCCCGUGGCUCAUUAAAGUGUCCGCGCUAGGGUCCAAUCGCAGGGAAGCGCGAACUUUGAAAAAUCCGCGAGCCAGGGACUGUACUUACAUUGGUGAAAAUAAAGAGUGUCCGCUCUCUAACUUGAGCAGUUCUUAUAUUUGUUCACCAAACGGGGUCACAGUUUAUUGUAUAAUAUUUCGAACAAGUUCAAUAACGAGCCAGAUUGUGCUAGAGAUUCUGGAAUUAUUACCCUUGAAUAACUUGAAAUUGAGAAAAUUGACAAUGCGCGCUCUUGAGUAGUUCUAACCAAGUGUUUACUAAAUUGAGUCACAACUAUCUCGAUCAGUUCGAUUCGAUUAACAAUCUGGAUUAUCCCCAGAGGCUGUUGAAUUUCUAAAACAGAGAAAAUUGAUAGUGUCCGCUUUCUAACUUGAGUAGUUCUUAUCCAUGUUUCGUUAUUCUUGAACAUAAUGAUUAUGGGCAUAAAAUCUCUGACACUUUCGAUAACCGGCCGGAUACUCCUAGUCACUUUCGAGUUAUGGCCCUUGUAUUAUUUGAAAUUGUAAAAAAGACAAAGUACUCUAAAUAUAUUAUGUCCACAAGAUUUAGUCCGAAUGUUUAUGGUCGAUAAGGUCAUACCCAGGGGGGUAGUCUUUGUUGCUCUGAAGUUAUGGCCUUAGAAUCAGUCGAAAAUGAGAAAGGAUUAGAGAGUAUUUUGUAAAUUAAAAGUAAUUUGAUGUGAUGGGCGAAUAUUGUGACAGUUUUCUGGCUCUUGUUGCUUGUUGGUUUAGGAUUGUUUUCUUUAUAUCAGCUGGUGUCUCAGAUACCUCGUGUAGUAAUGAAUUGAAACUUUAAAUUUGUUUUAUGUGGUUAUCUGACAUGUGAUGCGCAACUUCUUUUACUCAAUGGGCCCAUCCCAGUGGUUCCUCUUUUAUAACAUAGCAAUUUUAUUAAAGUUUUUUUUUAUAAAAACCGGCGCCACAUUUAACAUCAUACAAAUGGAGGAUUCUAUGACUCGUACUUAGGUUUAAGCUAUAUUUUUCGCUCUUUUUGAACAUGAUUAUUUAAUUAUACUUGAUAUGUUUUCAAUUUACUUUUUUGUUACAAGUCUUUUGAAUACUUGAGCAUUUUUGUUAGCCGACGUAUUUAGUUUUCAACUUAUUCUUAUAUUUAUUUUUUAUUUGAAUAAAUGUAGUAUGUUAUUUGAUUAAA
Mercenaria mercenaria is the source of this 5467-nucleotide long non-coding RNA. RefSeq lists it as uncharacterized. NCBI's taxonomy places the organism in Eukaryota, Metazoa, Mollusca, Bivalvia, Venerida, Veneridae. The transcript has 2 exons. The record is from RefSeq and is a predicted model, not a curated record.